This 205-nucleotide unclassified non-coding RNA is filed under the name plant metagenome. RNAcentral describes it as "partial contains small subunit ribosomal RNA, internal transcribed spacer 1, and 5.8S ribosomal RNA". The record is from RNAcentral.
GUAGGUGAACCUGCGGAAGGAUCAUUAAUAUUUGGGUAGAGUCCACUACUACAAUAGCGGACUUCGCCCAAAUAUUCUUUAUUUUUAAAGGAGCAAGAUACCCUUAUAUUUAAAACCCACUCUUGAACGUAUAAAAUUUAUGUAUUAAUGAUAAAUUAAAAGAUCACUUUCAACAACGGAUCUCUUGGCUCUCGCAUCGAUGAAG